Molecule: ribosomal RNA, 450 nt
Filed under: uncultured bacterium
Lineage: Bacteria
Description: bacterial SSU rRNA
Rfam family: Bacterial small subunit ribosomal RNA
Source: RNAcentral
AACGAACGCUGGCGGCAGGCCUAAUACAUGCAAGUCGAACGCACCGCAAGGUGAGUGGCAGACGGGUGAGUAACGCGUGGGAACCUUCCUUGCAGUACGGAAUAACUCCGGGAAACCGGUGCUAAUACCGUAUACGCCCCUCGGGAGAAAGAUUUAUCGCUGCAAGAUGGGCCCGCGUCGGAUUAGCUAGUUGGUGGGGUAAUGGCCUACCAAGGCUACGAUCCGUAGCUGGUCUGAGAGGAUGAUCAGCCACACUGGGACUGAGACACGGCCCAGACUCCUACGGGAGGCAGCAGUAGGGAAUAUUGGACAAUGGGCGAAAGCCUGAUCCAGCCAUGCCGCGUGAGUGAUGAAGGCCCUAGGGUUGUAAAGCUCUUUCACCGGGGAAGAUAAUGACGGUAACCGCAGAAGAAGCCCCGGCUAACUUCGUGCCAGCAGCCGCGGUAACAC